This is a long non-coding RNA of Cervus elaphus (red deer), 1362 nucleotides long. RefSeq lists it as uncharacterized. The record is from RefSeq and is a predicted model, not a curated record. NCBI's taxonomy places the organism in Eukaryota, Metazoa, Chordata, Mammalia, Artiodactyla, Cervidae. The transcript is spliced from 3 exons.
GCUUCCUGAAAAAAAGCAGCAAACACCAAGAGUUUAAAAAACCAUCAGGAAUUUAUAGCAAUACCAAUGUAGCUGAACCUCCACCACUAUUCUUAUCUCCUGGUAACAAGUCUUCUUCAUGCAGUAGGCCUUCAUAAAUGUUAUUGACUGAAUGACUGACUGCUAUCCAGAUAGUUCUGGGUGUGUCGUAACAGGUCAGCAACUGCAGUGGGAUGAUGGGCAACAUUAUUUUGCAAUGCUCUCCCUUUCAGACUUAAUUUUCACCAGUGUUGGGGAGGCAUUUCAUGAGCAGGAGUGCUCAUUCUCAGGUCAGACGAGGAUUUCACUGAUCGGCCACUCACUGUGCUGCUGCUGAACAAGCUGAUGUCGUUGUGUUACUUGAAUGUUUACAAAGGAGACAGAGUGCUUCAGACUCACAGAAACACAUACAGGAAAUCCUAAAGCUGGGCCUUACCUUCCCAAGUUGCUGCUCCGUGAGGGAAAACGCGUCCAUGAAUGCCUGGGCGAUCACUGACAGACAGCCGUCUAUGUGUGGUGUCUUCUUAAUGUCAAAGACAAACUGAGGGUUCUUCAGGAUGUUUACCCAGAAGCGAAGAGGAAGGCUGUUCCGAGAGAGAGAGAGAAAGACCUCUUUUCAAGUACAGCCUUUCAUGUGAGGCAGAUGCUGUGUUUAUCACAGUUUGUAAAUGGGUGUUUCUGUGCUUGUUACUGAAGUAUGCAAGUCUGCCUUGCCAAAUAUACCAAGCAACAGAUGGCAGCGUCACUCAGAACAAGAAAGGGUUAAACUGUCAAAGAGUUCCUGAAAGGGAGGCCUGGAGAAGUCUGAAACUGGCCACUGACAAAACAAGAAUUUUCUCCACCAGAAAUUUGUCGAUUAUAUUAGAUAAUGGUUACCAGUGAGAAUAUCUCAUCGGACCUCUUCUCACCCCCUCUAAGUGCUACACCCUGGCCUAAGCCACCAUCAUCUCUCACCAGGAUUAUUACCCGCCAGCUCCCAACAGUUAAUUCUUCCACAAGGACCAGCAACCCUCUGAAGACAGAAUCAGGUCCUUGUCUUUCCACUGCAGCUCUCCAUCCCCCUGGAGAAAGCCCUGCAUGAUCUAGGCCUGGUCCUCAUCGACUGCACUUCACCUUAUGCACCCCAGCUCCACCAGGCAAGCUUGUGCCACAGGGCUUCAUCCGUUUUCUUGAAACUGUCUUGCCCCAGACAGUCUCAAGGUUAAUGCCUCUUUUCAAGACCUGACUCAAAUAUGUCCACCAGACCUCUGACCACCCUGUCCUAUUAGUCUGUUUUUUCCUCAUUCUCUGCAUUAAUAUUGCCUUCUGAUAUACAAUUUAUCUAUUAAAAUACCACCUCUGUGA